This 98-nucleotide microRNA precursor is filed under the name Chlorocebus sabaeus (green monkey). RNAcentral describes it as "miRNA (ENSCSAG00000026108.1)". Lineage: Eukaryota; Metazoa; Chordata; Mammalia; Primates; Cercopithecidae. The record is from RNAcentral.
CCAUCUAACUAGCAAGGUGGUUACGAGCAUUGCCCUGGAGCCAGUCUGUCUGAGUUUGGAUCCUGGCUCUGCCACUUAUUAUCUGUGUGACCUUGAGC